AAGUCGUAACAAGGUUUCCGUAGGUGAACCUGUGGAAGGAUCAUUAAAAAUUGCAAGCCGGCGAGAGCCGCGCACCGCAAACCAUGUGAAAACACCCGUUGCUUCGGCGGCUGGCCCGCAAGGGCCGUCAGCCCGCCGCGAGCUCACGAAAACUCUUUCUGUAAACUUUCAGUCAGACACGAUAAAGUAAAUCGUUAAAA
RNAcentral lists this unclassified non-coding RNA (200 nucleotides) under plant metagenome. RNAcentral's name for it is "partial contains small subunit ribosomal RNA and internal transcribed spacer 1". The stretch from base 1 to 46 matches the Rfam family "Eukaryotic small subunit ribosomal RNA", at positions 1786 to 1831 of the family's 1831-position model. The record is from RNAcentral.